Plodia interpunctella (Indianmeal moth) is the source of this 797-nucleotide long non-coding RNA. RefSeq lists it as uncharacterized. The record is from RefSeq and is a predicted model, not a curated record. NCBI's taxonomy places the organism in Eukaryota, Metazoa, Arthropoda, Insecta, Lepidoptera, Pyralidae. The transcript has 3 exons.
UUUAUUUUGAACCCACAAUCCUACUAUGAUCGUUCAUAAAACCCUUUAGCCAUUUAGAUUUCAAACAUCUUUAUCAUGUCAAUUCAUGGAAGCAGUAAAUGGCCACCAGCGUAAAUUCGCGACCAUUUGGUCUAUUUUCGCUUCACUUCGAGUUCCCCCGACUGUCGUUACAUGUCAUUCAACCCGUCUAUUGUCUUUCCGAUGGUUAGAUCGUAUAACCACUAUGACGCUAUAGAUAAUAAAAACUGUAUUUGAACUGUCUGAGUUGACAGAGAUGGUUUUGCUUCCAUGUAACAAUGUAACAAUCAUGAAAUGUGUAGCUUGAGCGAGUUGAUCAUGCUCGACCGCCACAGUAUAUAGGAAUCGGGAAUGAAAGAUUGAUGAAGUGGGCAGAUGGAAGAUCCUUCAUGAAUAGAGCUCGUCCCUUUAUUAACGCUCGAGAAAUAUUCGAUCAGUGAUUUCACAAUGGCAAUGUUCAUUAAAUUGAUUCAAUGAAUGAAGAACUCAAUCUUGAAAACUGAGCAAUGUCAGCAUUCAGUUCUGACCUUCAUUAAAAUCGAAGUCAAAGAGCCAAUCUUAUCUGAAGUUUGCAGCUGGUGCCUCUGCUAUAUACAAGACUAUCAUGACAUUUCAAUUUGUUUUCAUCUCGUCUCUUAUUACAAUUGAAUCGUCAAGAGCAUUGUUAUUUGGAUUUUCUUCGACAGAUGAAAAUACAUUAAUUUUUUACUUAUGUCUCAUGUCAAUAAAGUCACAAAGCUUCGCCUGUGUCUCCAAUAAAAUCUGUCUGAAUAUGACAA